Molecule: ribosomal RNA, 329 nt
Filed under: uncultured eukaryote
Lineage: Eukaryota
Description: partial 18S ribosomal RNA
Rfam family: Eukaryotic small subunit ribosomal RNA
Source: RNAcentral
CCCUUAGAUGUCCUGGGCCGCACGCGCGCUACACUGAGUGUCUGAGAUACGAGUCUGCCUGGUCCGGCAAGGUCUAGGUAAUCGCUAAAAGACACAUCAUGCUUGGGAUAGAUUAUUGCAAAUAUUAAUCUUGAACGAGGAAUUCCUAGUAAGCGCAAGUCAACAGCUUGCGUUGAUUACGUCCCUGCCCUUUGUACACACCGCCCGUCGCUACUACUGAUUGGAUGUUUAAGCGAGGUUCUCGAACUGCUAGCGACUUAGCUUCGGUGAGGUCGCAGUGUGGGAAGUGAACCUUGCUUUGGUGUCUAGAGGAAGUAAAAGUCGUAACA